Molecule: ribosomal RNA, 406 nt
Filed under: uncultured bacterium
Lineage: Bacteria
Description: partial 16S ribosomal RNA
Rfam family: Bacterial small subunit ribosomal RNA
Source: RNAcentral
AUUGAACGCUGGCGGCAGGCCUAACACAUGCAAGUCGAACGAGUGGCGGACGGGUGAGUAAUGUCUGGGAAACUGCCUGAUGGAUGGGGUUAACUACUGGAAACGGUAGCUAAUACCGCAUACCAUCGGAUGUGCCCCGAUGGGAUUAGCUAGUAGGUGGGGUAAAGGCUCACCUAGGCGACGAUCCCUAGCUGGUCUGAGAGGAUGACCAGCCGCACGGGAACAGAGACACGGGCCAGACUCCUACGGGAGGCAGCAGUGGAGAAUAUUGCAAAAUGGGCGAAAGCCUGAUACAGCCAUGCCGCGUGUAUGAAGAAGGCCUUCGGGUUGUAAAGUACUUUCAGCGGGGAGGCGUUACCCGCAGAAGAAGCACCGGCUAACUCCGUGCCAGCAGCCGCGGUAAUUC